CGCUAUUUCAAUUAAAUAUACAAUUAAUCCUCAUAGCAGAAAAAUAAUUCUUGAAAUAACAAUAAUUUCUCGAACCAAAGAAUCAAUCCUCAACAUAUCAAUUUAAUCCUCAAAAUAAACAAUUCUUCUUCUUUAUAAAGUGGACUAUCCCGGGGUCGCAGCUCUUCAAAAUUCAACAAUAAAAUCUCAAUUCAACUCUCUGUUUUCUGGUAUUUUUAAAAUUCCAUAACUUAACAUCUUCACAUGAAACCUUUUCCAUUUUAACCUCUGACAUAGUAUCUUGCUAUCCUUAAAAUUUCAGCUUAAACCGAUUAGUAUAGAUAGGUCAAAUACUCGCUCAAAGAUGGUACUCAAAAUUAUCUCAGCAAGGCAAAACAGGAUUUUUAUCAUCAUCACAGCCACGCUCUAAAAUUCACUGUAAAUCGUAGGUUUACUAUUUUGGCAUGAAACCACCUCUGGGAUCUUCUAUACUCAGUACACUAUCAUCCCUCAAAAUUUCAACUCCAACUAAAGUGUUUAGCUAGGUGAAACAUUGCUUCAAAGUUCAGUGUUCAGUAAAUUC
This 562-nucleotide long non-coding RNA is filed under the name Daucus carota (carrot). Its description in RNAcentral is "long non-coding RNA (DCAR_LNC007114)". The record is from RNAcentral. Lineage: Eukaryota; Viridiplantae; Streptophyta; Magnoliopsida; Apiales; Apiaceae.